GACGAACGUUGGCGGCGUGGAUGAGGCAUGCAAGUCGAACGCGAAAGCCGCAAGGUGAGUAGAGUGGCGGACGGGCGAGUAACACGUAAUCAAGCUACCUGCGAGACGGGAAUAACCUCGGGAAACCGAGGCUAAGACCCGAUGGUCUUCAUGGACCGCAUGGUCUGGGAAGUAAAUGGGCGGGAUCCUUCGGGAUCGCCUGCUCGCAGAGGUGAUUGCGGCCC
Molecule: ribosomal RNA, 224 nt
Filed under: uncultured bacterium
Lineage: Bacteria
Description: partial 16S ribosomal RNA
Rfam family: Bacterial small subunit ribosomal RNA
Source: RNAcentral